GAUUAUUGGGUAAAUCAUCAUAGUAAGGUCAAUUGAUUUCUUAGCCAAAAGGAAAUAGGUCUAAACUCAAGAAUAGUUAAGAACUGUUGAUAAGAUUUGAUGACGCUAAAGAAAUUUCGAAAUUCAUAAUACUUUGUGAGAGCUGUUUCAAAGUUAAAAAAAUAAACAUAGAACCUCUGAAUCAACAGAAUGACGAAGAAGAAAGAUAUGAAGCAGCCUGCGUAUGCAUGUAGUGACAUGAUUAGCUAUCUUAGAGUAAUGCUCUUGAGCAAACCAAGGCUCAAUGAGUCCAGAGAAGUUUAGAGCAAAGCUCGAUCUUCAUACAAUGAUGAAUAUGGUAGAGUCUCAAGCCAUUACACUGAAAAUUACAAGGCUGAACAUUUAGUGGACAAAAGUAUUGAUCAGUUGGGCUACAAGCAAGAAGCUAAGUUCAUCUCUAUCGAAAAGUACACGGACAAGGAGCUAGGGUUUUCCACCGAGUACCAAACCUAGGUGAAGUUCAAGGAAUCUGUUUAUCCAAACAAGUUUGGAUCUUCAUCAUCUAAUUCUAACUAUGACAACAAUAAGAAUUGCAACUCCUUUUGGAAAUUGAUGAGAACGUCUGUUAUCGAGGAGUUUCCCAAGAAA
This 627-nucleotide long non-coding RNA is filed under the name Malus domestica (apple). Its description in RNAcentral is "long non-coding RNA (MDOM_LNC009678)". Lineage: Eukaryota; Viridiplantae; Streptophyta; Magnoliopsida; Rosales; Rosaceae. The record is from RNAcentral.